This 251-nucleotide ribosomal RNA is filed under the name uncultured bacterium. RNAcentral's name for it is "partial 16S ribosomal RNA". It matches the Rfam family "Bacterial small subunit ribosomal RNA", at positions 74 to 339 of the family's 1533-position model. The record is from RNAcentral.
CCUAGCUUGCUAGGGACCCAGCUAGUAGCAAACGGGUGAGUAACGCGUGGGAACCUACCUUAUAGUAUGGAAUAGUCUUGGGAAACCGGGUUUAAUACCAUAUACGCUCUACGGAGGAAAGAUUUAUCGCUAUAAGAUGGGCCCGCGUUAGAUUAGUUUGUUGGUGAGGUAAUGGCUCACCAAGACUACGAUCUAUAGCUGGUUUGAGAGGAUGAUCAGCCACACUGGGACUGAGACACGGCCCAGACUCC